RNAcentral lists this transfer RNA (83 nucleotides) under unidentified. RNAcentral describes it as "Aquiluna sp. KACHI24 tRNA-Leu". It matches the Rfam family "tRNA". Rfam says of the family: Transfer RNA (tRNA) molecules are approximately 80 nucleotides in length. Their secondary structure includes four short double-helical elements and three loops (D, anti-codon, and T loops). The record is from RNAcentral. RNAcentral also lists the same sequence under 1 other name.
GCGGGUGUGGCGAAAUUGGCAGACGCACCAGAUUUAGGUUCUGGCGCCGAGAGGCGUGGGGGUUCAAGUCCCUUCACCCGCAC